RNAcentral lists this non-coding RNA (194 nucleotides) under Alistipes ihumii. The record is from RNAcentral. Lineage: Bacteria; Pseudomonadati; Bacteroidota; Bacteroidia; Bacteroidales; Rikenellaceae.
UCCGGUUCGCCGAGCAGGAAUUAAUAGGGAAUGCCGUGCGAAUCGGCAACAGUAACCGCUGCUGUAUGUCUCUGCCCUGCGCCAGAAGAAGCGCUUCUGCCAGGGUCAAAAAGUUUUAAAAUUUAUGUCACUGGCGCCGCUGUCGCCGGGAAGGCUUUAAAACAGAGACGAGUCAGAAGACCUGCCUGAGCGAA